GACACUGUGAGAGGAACACGCAGGCGCAGUUAUAUAUCCGGGUUAUUUUAGCCGAUUUACAGGAUUAAUAUUGUUUGUAUGUUGUAAUGGAUCAAUUCUAUAAAUAUCCAGUGUAUUGACAUAAUAUCGAUGACACAGGAAUGAAUGAAUGAAGCUCCGCGCUGCUGGCGGCCCGCUGAGCGCAGACAUGUUCGGGACUUGUCCUGAGUCAGUCACGGGAUUAUGAGUCAGCGGCGCUCUGAAUAGAGUCAGUUUCACUUCUGCUCUCAGUCAGACGGAGGCCACGGACAGUGACAAUGCAGAGUCAGAAAACCAGCCAGAACUCCACUGGGUCCAGUACCACCCAGAAACUGGUUCUCCCACAGGUCAGGUACCAUCCCUCCAUCCAAAUGCCGGUUGGAGGAGCCAAAACCA
Stegastes partitus (bicolor damselfish) is the source of this 414-nucleotide long non-coding RNA. RefSeq lists it as uncharacterized. Lineage: Eukaryota; Metazoa; Chordata; Actinopteri; Pomacentridae. The record is from RefSeq and is a predicted model, not a curated record. The transcript has 2 exons.